UAAGGAAUAUUGGUCAAUGGACGCAAGUCUGAACCAGCCAUGCCGCGUGAAGGAUGAAGGUCCUCUGGAUUGCAAACUUCUUUUAUCUGGGACGAAAACGGGAUUUUUAUCUCAAUUGACGGUACCAGAGGAAUAAGCACCGGCUAACUCCGUGCCAGCAGCCGCGGUAAUACGGAGGGUGCGAGCGUUAUCCGGAUUUACUGGGUUUAAAGGGUGCGUAGGUGGGCUUAUAAGUCAGUGGUGAAAUCUCCGAGCUUAACUUGGAAACUGCCGUUGAUACUAUAGGUCUUGAAUUAUCUGGAGGUAAGCGGAAUAUGUCAUGUAGCGGUGAAAUGCUUAGAUAUGACAUAGAACACCAAUUGCGAAGGCAGCUUACUACAUAUAAAUUGACGCUGAGGCACGAAAGCGUGGGGAUCAAACA
Molecule: ribosomal RNA, 421 nt
Filed under: uncultured bacterium
Lineage: Bacteria
Description: bacterial SSU rRNA
Rfam family: Bacterial small subunit ribosomal RNA
Source: RNAcentral